GACGAACGCUGGCGGCGUGCUUAACACAUGCAAGUCGAACGAUGAAGCCAGCUUGCUGGUGGAUUAGUGGCGAACGGGUGAGUAACACGUGGGUGAUCUGCCCCAAACUUUGGGAUAAGCCUGGGAAACUGGGUCUAAUACCGAAUAUGACCGAUACUCGCAUGGGUGUUGGUGGAAAGCUCCGGCGGUUUGGGAUGGGCCCGCGGCCUAUCAGCUUGUUGGUGGGGUAAUGGCCUACCAAGGCGACGACGGGUAGCCGGCCUGAGAGGGCGACCGGCCACACUGGGACUGAGACACGGCCCAGACUCCUACGGGAGGCAGCAGUGGGGAAUAUUGCACAAUGGGCGCAAGCCUGAUGCAGCGACGCCGCGUGAGGGAUGACGGCCUUCGGGUUGUAAACCUCUUUCACCAGGGACGGGGCGAAAGUGACGGUACCUGGAGAAGAAGCACCGGCCAACUACGUG
This 464-nucleotide ribosomal RNA is filed under the name uncultured bacterium. Its description in RNAcentral is "partial 16S ribosomal RNA". It matches the Rfam family "Bacterial small subunit ribosomal RNA", at positions 28 to 507 of the family's 1533-position model. The record is from RNAcentral.